ACUAGGCAACCCACCCCCAGAUGUAUAAUUUAAAGGUGAUGUGCUUGCACUGGGAUCUUCAGGAUCUGCUCAAUACAGCAACACCAUGUGAUAACUGGGAUAAGGUGGAGUUCAGCUUUAAGGGGGUGUCUCCAGCUCUCCUCACCCAUCUUUAGGAUCAGAGCUGGAGGAAUACCAGUGGAUGUUUUCCACAUCGCCUGGCUCCUUGUUCUCCAUCCACUCUUCUGCUCAAACCCUGACCAAAUAAAGGAACGGGGGGAGAUAAGAUCAGUUACAAGAUUGUACAAGGUUAUCAAGGAAACGAAGUGACAGCUUUUGGUGGGAUCCCGCUGCUUGAGUGAUGAGAACAUUUUGAGCUUCUGAAACCAUUCGGAAGAAACUCAGUGCAGUCGAGACCAAUGCAGGGCAUGGACGCAAGUUUCAACAAUAUGAACACAUCAUUUCUUUCCUCUGCUGGGAAUCAGUCCAUCCAUCUGAACUUUUCAGAGAAGAAUUCCAGAAUCAUACACUUCCAAGAUGAAGAUUGCCACAUGCCGUUGGCCCUGGUCUUCACCUUGGCUCUUGUUUAUGGGGCUGUGAUCAUUCUUGGCGUCUCUGGAAAUCUGGCCUUAAUUAUCAUCAUCUUAAAACAGAAGGAGAUGCGCAAUGUUACCAACAUCCUUAUUGUCAACCUUUCCUUCUCAGACCUUCUAAUGACCAUCAUGUGUCUCCCCUUCACCUUUGUAUACACUUUAAUGGACCACUGGAUUUUCGGGGAGGCCAUGUGCAAGCUGAAUCCUUUUGUGCAGUGUGUCUCAAUCACAGUCUCGGUUUUCUCUUUGGUCCUCAUCGCGAUUGAACGCCAUCAGCUGAUCAUCAACCCUAGAGGAUGGAGGCCGAAUAACAGACAUGCCUACCUAGGGGUUGCUGCCAUCUGGAUUCUAGCCGUGGCUUCCUCCUUGCCUUUCCUGGUUUAUCAUGUAUUAACUGAUGAACCCUUCAAAAAUAUAACAAUUGAUGAAUAUAAAGACAAAUAUGUGUGCUUGGACUUGUUCCCUUUGGACACUAUCAGGCUUUCUUAUACCACAGCUCUGUUGGUGAUACAGUACUUUGGACCACUUUGUUUUAUAUUUAUUUGCUACUUAAAGAUAUACAUACGCUUAAAACGAAGGAACAACAUGAUGGACAAGAUGCGAGAUAAUAAAUACAGAUCCACUGAAACCAAAAGGAUCAACAUCAUGCUGAUCUCUAUUGUGGUUGCAUUUGCAGUCUGCUGGCUACCUCUUACCAUUUUUAAUAUUGUGUUUGACUGGAAUCAUGAAAUUCUGCCCGCUGCCACCUGCAGCCACAAUGUAUUGUUCUUGAUUUGUCACCUCACAGCCAUGAUCUCUACCUGUGUGAACCCUAUCUUUUAUGGAUUCCUCAACAAGAACUUCCAGAGGGACUUGCAGUUUUUCUUUCAUUUUUGUGAUAUUCGCUCCAGGGAUGAUGAUUAUGAGACUAUAGCCAUGUCCACCAUGCAAACAGAUAUUUCAAAGACCUCUUUGAAGCAAGCAAGCCCAGUAGCAUUUAAAAAAAUAAAUAAUGAUUAUGAUGAAAAAAUAUAACCCCCCCACAUCCAACCCAAAGUGUUGUCAGUGUGGUCACAGGUGAUAUGGGCCCAAGGAAAAGCACAAAUUUGUAACAAAAUGGAUUUCCUUCCCUGUACUGCUACUUCCCUCAUCCUGUACCAGCCAAGUUCCCUUGUAUGAGAGCCAUUCAUCCAAGAACUUCCAUGAAGUGACAUUGUGGGACAUAUGCUGAAGAUGCCAUGGAAGAUGAAUAUCAGCUAAUUCAAGUUCAGGAUGUAUGAUCAGCUUCUAGUAGAAAUGAUCAACUUCUAUAUAAAAUGUCAACAUUUUAAGUAAAAUAAAUUACCCACCCACAACUAACUUGCCAUUGCACCUCUUGUUCUAACAUCAGUUUUUUUUAAAAGAAGAAAAUUCUUGAUAAAUAUUGACCCUGUUUAUAACCAGCGUUUUUAGUAGGAAUGAAUUCUACCAGCAAAGUCUGGAUCUUGACCUGUAUCUAGACCCCAAUUCAGCAAAACGUUUGGGCACAUGCUUUAAUCCAGCCCUGUUCAGUAAUGCCCUGAUUCAGGAAAUCGCUCUAACUGAGGUCAAUGGGACUUAAGCACAUGCUUAAAGUUAAAGAUUUUCUUAACUGCUUUGCUGAAUAGGAAUGGACUACUGAAUCAGGGCCCCAGAUCUGUCCCAAAUAUCAGAAGGAUUUGCUUCUUAGGUUUAGUUUCAGCCUUUUAUACAGGUAAGUUCAAGUCAUAAACUUUGGAUCUAGAGUUGGAUCUGGAGUCCAAAGCCUGAGGAUGUUUUGAUCCAUGGCUUUUCUUCAGGUCCUUUUCUAGUUUUUAGCAGUAGAGACUCUAACCAACUGGUUUGCGGUGAAUGGAAGAAAUAAGAAAUAUAGAUUUUACCUUUCUCAUUUUUACAGCAUAUAUUACAGUACAGAACGUGCUCUCAGAUAACACCUCUGAUUUAUGCAGUUGAAAGGAAUUUGACUGGAUGGAGGGGGUGUAGAGGGAGGAGAUGCUAAAUUAUACUCAAAUGAUAAGUUGCAUUGACAGUCUUUUUCUCGGCUAAAGGAUAUAGAUCAAAAUCAUGACUGAUCUACCAUGUUCUUUUCAUGUCUAAAUUAUUUGAUAUUCAGUAUUUGCCUCUCUAAGGUGAAAAGACAAGUACCUGAGUCAUUACCAGUGUGUGUUUGAAAGGAAGAUAUGUUCUUUUUUGCAUCAGUUUUACUGAAGUCCAAAUGUUUUGGGAUGUCAUGUAAUUUAAAAAAGGAAAAAACUAUAACCAACUCACAUCUUUUAUGCUCUAAUUUGCCUGUUGCUGAUGCUGAUACAUAUUAAAUGACAUUUUUGUUAAAAAAUAGCACUAGUGGUCUUAUGUAAGCUAAAAAAUUAAAGAAGGUACAGGGUUAAGGCUGUCAAUAUGUUGCACUUAAGUUCUGUUCUGGGAAGGGAUGCUUUCCUGAAUGGGCCUUAUACUGUGUCAUGUGUUUGUAAAACCCAGGCAUGGCAGGAUCAGUUCAGCACAGAGAAUUCCUGUUUAUCACAACAAAUUGUACUCCACAGUUCACCCUUUAUUUUCCAUGUGCAUAUCAGGCUAUGGGCAGAUUUCACAGAUCCACACUGCCCUCAGAAAUGUAUGCCAGAUAUGUCUGUUUCAGAUUGUUGCAUGCGUGUAAUUUACGCUGAAAUCUCCAAUGUCCAAUCAGUCUACCACUAAUUUUGGAGAUCUUCAAACAAGAACAGGUAUGUCUGACAUAACAUACAUUUUGAAAGACAGAAAGAAGAAAAACAGCAGAACAACAGUUAAUCAUUAAUUAUUGCAUUUUUUGAAAUAUGUAUAUGAAGAUUUGAGGGCAGAAUCAAGCACUAAUUGAGGCCAGCAAGCUGUCAUAUAAAUGGUUGGUGGGGCAUUGGAAAGCAUGCCCAAGCAGUGACCUCUAACAAUUACAUUUCUCUGUUACACCAUUUAAAAAAAGAGAGAGAUCCUCACAACUGCCAGGCAAGACAACUGAUAACCUGUUACGACUUUCCAUCUCAGGUUUACCUGGAUCUCAUUACCAAGGCCAAAGAAAAAAACCAUUUUGGCAUUAGCAGAAAAGUAUAUUCUACAGUGCAGCCCUUGACACUGGCAAAACAUUGAGUUCAGUUUCUUUCACUUCUACAGGGUGAGGGCAAACUAUUUUAUGGCAGGAGCAGAGCCCUGGCCACCUUAAAUCUCCCUUGUUCUUAUUCUCACUGGUGUGGUGUAGCUCUUUUUUACUUUUAUUGCUGAUGUCUGUGAAAAGGUGUUUCUUGGAGGAGCCUCAGGUUUCUGUGUUGAGUAUUCCUUAUGCCACAAGUGUUUCAAUAUAUUGACCCUGAGGUUGGUUGUUUCUGUGGAAAUGCUAUUGGGGGUUUGAUGGCUGAAUCUCAUUUUGGAGACAAAAUGUAUCUACUAACAUGUUCCAUUCUCUUCCUCGUUUUAUUUUAAGAUUCUUUACAUGUGGUCUUUUGCUUUAUAAAUCUUUCACCUAAUGGAGAAGCUUGUAUACUUAUGUGGGGUAGAAAGGGGUAAUUUUAAAUUGUUGCAAGCCAAGUAGUUUUACUUUAAAAAAUACUAAAACUAUUUAGUCCAGAGAAACAAGAAAUGGCCAGCUCUUAGUACGUGUUUCUCUUACUGCCAAACCAGGAAAACCAAAAUAAAAAGAUGAAAUAAUUAAUAAAGGUUAUUUAUAAAACUAUCUCAGAGAUGUGAGUCCCACUACUUUAGUCACAGAAAUUCUUUUGCAUACCUUAGGGGACAUCAUGAUAUGCAACAUAACCACACUUAUUAACCAUGCUAUUUAUUAUUAAAGAAAAGAAAAGAAACCAUUAAACAAUACAAAACAAAUUACAGAACACAACUGAUAAACUGGUUACUUCUGUUACAAUCUCUUCUAUAUGCCUCUUUGUAGAGAACUUUUAGAAGAGAUUUCACAUUUAAAAGUGAAAUCAGGAUGUACUUCAUUUGGUAAAUUAAGACCAAAGUAUAUUGUUUCCCAAAGUUAUUGUCAAUUUAGUCUUAGUUUCUUACUAGAUACUUAAAAUUGUUUAUGUAUGGACAAAAUAAUGUGUUUAAGGGCCGGUGAUACCUGUCUUGUUGUUAUUAACAACCAGCCAGUUUAUAAUUGGGCAAAAUAAACAAUCUUAUGAAAUCUAAGAAAAUACUUAAAUCAGUUACUUAGAGGAAGCCAUUUAAGGAUCUUCAAGACAAGCCAAUUAUGAGUAUUAAGAAACUUAAAUCUGCAAUUUCUGGGUUUGCCAAUGGUUAGCCCCUGUCUCCUCUCCAGGAAUACAUAGUGUAACCAUGUGUUGAUUAACAGGAGAAACUGUUAAUAUUUUAAGUUACAACAGAAUUUCCAUAGCUAAACAAAAUGAUUACAAGAGUUUUAAAAUCUAAUCCAGUGUUUUAGUUAAUUUUCUUUCACCAAUCCAUGUUAAAGUUUUGGGGCGCUUUUCCUAGAAUUGGUUUCUUCUUUAGUCCUCUCUGUUCUUGUUAGGUCUCUGUAGUAGCUUGCUUGUAGAGAUGGACAGGAUGACUUGUGGCAUGCUUGCUGUUAAGCAGGGUAGCAGAGGGUGUGUGUGUGUGGAGGUACCCACUUCAGAGUUUUAUACCAUUCUACUUCCUAUUCGCUUGAAAUUAUAGAAAAGCCACUUUCAGGUUUGUUUAGACUCCAAGCUGAUUUCUGUUCAUUGGCUCAGUACUUUCAUAGGUUAUUCUUAAAAGCCUCUUUAUCUUAUGAAUAUAUAAUUUAUUAAUGCAUGUAUGCAUUGGGAUUGUAAUUCUUUCUUGGCAGUUAUAGUUCCUUUGUCUUUGUGGUGGGAGAUUCUCAGACAUCUUUAAGUUUAGAGUUUUAACUCUUUUUUUAUGCAGUCCAUUUUCUGAGAUAUUCCUUCUAAAUUUAAACUUAAAACUUAUGGUUCUUAAAACUGUUUUUUCAAAAAUGCAAUGAUUUUUAGAGUGUGUUUAUCUUAAAUAGCUUUUAAAGAAGUUGUUGAGUCUUCAUAACAAUUUUUGAGAGAUUAUUCUUCUUGUUUUCCUAAUAUGGCUUGAGCACUGCCAAUAAUUAAAUCCCCAUUAAAAUAAAUAUUCAAUACCUGAAUGGCUUCUUACAUUACUAAUUGGUUUAGCAAGAUCGUUAGAUUACAUGCUGGUCCUGUGAUACUGAGGCCUAUUGGUUCACUACUCUGUGUCAGCAACUUCUAUCAGGCCUGACAAACUCACUGGACCUAACAUGUUGCUGUCAUAGUAUUUAUCUAUAAAGACUGUCUUGUAAGGUAUUUAAUGAAAGCUGGUAAUAUCCUGGUCACUCAUAUCAUUGUGAAAUGUGUGUAUUAACAUUAUAUGAGAAAUUAAGGAUACUCACUGAUAUUAUGCUUUAAAAUCUGUAACCAAACAAAGAGAGAAUAGGUUUUCUUCCAGACAGGAGGAAAGAUAGUUAUCUCUCUGCCACUAAUAUAAAUGAAGCAUUGUGAAAACAAUACCAAAAGAAGCCCCAUUUGAAAGUAAGUCAUCAGGAAAAGCCAGGUUGACUGGGGAUGUGAAACCAUCAUGAGAAACUAAGGCCACAAGAGGGUGUCUUGUCUCUGGGGUCAAAACAAUGAUUUUUGGGGAACUGUAAGCACAAAAGAUAUUUUGUUAUCCAUCUUUGAGGGAACAAAGAGAUCAGUGGUCUUUGCAUCCAUGAAAGCUGGAUCCUGGCCCAGGGAGGCCUUGUGAUUCUGAGAGGAGGCUUUAGGUGAGAAAACCACCCUAGACAAAGAUUGUAGCCUGUAAAGUUGUAGCCUCUAGAAAUCAUAUUAUACUUUUAUUUUAUUUAUGACAAUUUUCUGAUUUUUUUAACUUUGCUUAGUAUCACUUGAAUCUCUAUUCUUUAUUAAUACGUUUAGUCCUGGUUUUAUUUUAAGUUCAUCUCAGUGCAAUAUAUAAUAGUAAAGUGUGCUGAGCUAACAGGCUGGUGUCUAAACUGCCUCUCUGGAGACAGCAGUCUUUGUAAUUUCUGUGAGUGUCCAGUGAGAGGGGCAAAGUGUGGGCUGGCAGAAUUCUAAGCAGUUUGUUUGGCCGGUUAACUAACUGGGAUGGCAGGGAGCUGACACUUAGUUUAGCACCAGCAAAUCUCUCUUUUGCUGAGGCAGAUAGGUAACAAUGUGACUUACAGUUCUGGACACCCCAGGAAAGCGUCACUAGUACAUAAAGCAUUUUACCAUUUACAUAGGAAUGAUGUUAGGAAAUUAUGUUAGGUGCUUUGCCUUUAGGUAAAAUACUUGCAUAUAUGCCAUUCAAAAUGAUUUUCCAUUUCAACAUUGGAAAUAAACAAAAGUUUAAAACAUUUGCAACUACAUAUGUUUUUCCUAGAGGCUUUUCUGAAUGCUGUUUUUAGAAUUAUUAUAAAAUUCAUUUUCAGUAAGAUAUUUCUAGAAUUCUCUGUGAAUGUUUACUUAGAAUUUGUUCUUGGGAGGGUGAAAAAGCCAACUUUACAUGAAGAUUUACUGCUUUGUUAACCCAACCUUACGUUCUUUUUCAUGUCAGAUCUUUUUGUAAAGCAUGAAUGUUUUACAUGGUUUGUAUUCUUGAGAUAAGGACUACAUUUGUACCAAACUGGUAUUUAUACAAGAGUGAGGUAUCCUAGUCUAGAUAAGACACUCUAAGGGUAAUAAACAUGGUUUUAUGGCUAAUGAGGGAUAUCUGCUUGACAUUUGACUUGUCUUUGGGUGAUAGUGGGACAGAUUUCUGUUACCAAUCUGCCUGAUGCGUCAGGUGAUCAGGCUGAGGCCACAGGAUUGUUAAUGGAGGAGAUGACGGAACACAUCAAGUGUCUAAGUUUUAAAGCUUUAUUGAUAAAAUAAUAAAAUAACAGCGGAGAGUGAUGGGUGCUCCCCACACCAUCAGAGGAAGGAAGAAAGCAUUAGUGCCCCAAGCCCUAACCCACUUUCAUACUCACACCCGCACUACAUGAGGCUGGCCAGACCUGGGUGUAACAUAAGAAGAAGAGGGAGAAGGGUGGACGGGAGUUCUGUCAUGUGUGCACAGGUCGUCCAGGGUCCGCUGUGAUCUCCAAAUUGCUUCAGCUCUCAGGAGGGUUUUAAGUCCUGGGCUCCUUUGGGGCUGUUCCAUUCCAUGACUUCUGUUCCUGGUGCUUUUUGUGCCAAUCCAAACUGGCUUUCUGUGGUCUUCUCCGCUUUCCCAAAACACAACAGCUCCAGGGACGCGAAGCUCUGCUACCCCCCUCAUUGUUUCGCCGGUGUUUUCCAUCUCUGCAGCCCUGGUUCAGUGUACUUUUUCUUUUCUCAUGGCUGGCUGUGGCUGGGUGAGAUAAUUUUUCAUCUAGCGCCGUGACCUUGGACUGGGGCCAGUGUCUUAUUGUUGGACUGAGCUUGCUAGCUGCAGUGUUGAGUUAACCUGUUCUCUGCUCUCUUUCUCCUUCCCCCUUUGGCCUUUUGCAGCCUGCAAAAGUAUCUUCCACUCCCCACUUACACCUUUGACCCUUCCCAAAUUGCCCUGCGAUGCUUGCAACAGCGUUAGCAAUAUACAACACAUAUACAAUGCUGAUCUGCUUCCCCCAGGGGACCCCUUGGUGGUGGUGGUGGUGGUGGGGGCUCGGGUGUGACAAUAGAAGCAGAGAGCACCUGGAAUUUCUUUGAUUAGCUUGAACAUUUUGUAAUAUAACUAGCUAAACAUAACAUGCAUUGUUAUAUUUCAAACAUCCUGGCUCUAACGUACUUGUAGCUAUAUCUUAAUAUUUGGUGAAGACACAGACAAAUUUGUGAUGAGAUAACAUCAAAAACAAAAGUAAGGUAAUAGUUUUAUUAAUAUCAUUUUCCCAUCAGUAUUGAAGUCUCUCCCUCAUACUCACCUAUAGUUGUAUGUAUGUAUUAUAUUUUGUUGUUUGUAGUAUCCUCAGAUAUUUGACAAUAAAAGUUCUUUCCUAUAUUUUUUCUAGAUUUAGCAAAUGCUAUAUUUCAAUAAUGCCAUUGCUGGAAAAGUCCAGUCUGCCUUUUGUUUACCCUGUUGGGUAUGUCUACACUGCAAUAUAAGCCCAGAGUUAGUGGGACUCAAGUGAACUGACCCAUGUUAGGGAACCUUGAGCUUAAGUGUCUACAUUGUAUUUUAACCCUAGAUUAAGAAUUUUCUGACCCAUGAUUGAACCUAGGGCUCUGGCCUCCACACUGCAGAGCACAAACCUGACUCAAAGUAACCAUAUCACAGAGACCCUAGCACACACCCCCAAAAUGUGGCCGCUCUAGCUCUAGGAGCAUGGUACAAUGUGGGAAAACUUCAUUGCUCACCCUGCACGUUACCAGGAAGCAACUCACUUUGCAAAAGGCUUGAUCAGUUCACUCUCCAUUGCAAACCCAGGAGGCUUUCUAAUACUUUGAUUGCAGAUUGGUGAUCAAAACAGAAUGGGUUAAUGCUGACCUGAUCUGCUGCCUUUUGCCCAGGGGGUGAGGGGACUUCUGUUUUCAGGAGAGUGGAUUGCAGACUGUCGUGAUAAAGAGGACUAAGGAAGUUCUCCCAUGGAAUUGUGGGAUAGUCCUGGAUGACUCUUGGGAUCUGAGUCAAGUGGGGUUGUAGCAAAACUGCAGAGAAAUAGGACUUGGACACUGGGUCCUGGUUUGAUUUAAGGUCAGACCCUCCAGCCCUCUAGGGCUGUGGGACCCUGGGUCCGAGCCCUGGGUUAGUGCAUGGGCUCAAGCAUGGGCUUACAUUGCAGUGUAGACAGUUUCUGCAUUAGCAUUGUCAUUGCAGUCUGCAGGAGUGCGUAUUGAGACCCUAAUCCAGCAAGAUACUUCAGUAUCUACCUAACUUUCAGCAUGAGUGGUCCCAUUGACUUCAGUUUACUCUAUUCAUCUGCGUACAGUUAGGUAGAAGCAAAAGUACCUGGCUGAACCGGGGCCUUAGAGCCUGAUCAAAAGCCCAGUGAGGUCAAUAGAAAGAGUCCUAUUGACUUAAAUGGGCUUUAAAUCAGGACCUUAUUUCAAGCUUUCUCUUUCCUCACCCCCACUCCAAAUUAGAUAUGUUUAUUACUGCUGUCCUUCGCUCACGGAAGCAGAAAAUAUAAUGGAUUCCCCAGUGUCCCUUAGUACUGUGCAUUUUUCUUAAUGCAACUUUAAGCCAAAUGCAUCUGCCAAAACUGUCUGGCUUGCUGAUUUUAACUAGGUUACUGCAGUGAAAAAUUGGAAGAAAUGCACUGGCAUUGCUGAGUGUAUUUUUGGUUCCUGACAGGUGUACACAUUUACAAUUUUUUCAUUACCAAGAGUGUGUGUUUAUUAAUUAUUAUUAUUGCUAUUAUUGCUGCUAUUUUGUUAUAAUCAUUAUUAUUAUUAUUAUCUUCCAGAGCUGAAUGAUUUGCAUUUCAAAUUCACCCCGCACUGUAAGAAAUAUCAGUUUGUGGCAGGAAUUGUAGAUUUUUCUAAUAACAAUGCUUCCCAUAAAGCAAUCUUCAGCAGUCAAAGAAUAGCAACAAUGUGAUGACAAAUGUUGGCCUCCAAAGUAAUAUCUUUAAAAUUAAGUAUGGACAAUAUUAGAUUAAACAUAUGAUAAUUCAGUUUGAAGGGUGACAUUUUUAUUUGGAAAAUUACAGUUUCAAAUAACUCCUUGACUAUGUGAAAUUACAGAGCCUGAAUCUAGCCUCACCCAUAUUGGUUUUACACAAGGACUUCAUUGGAGUUAUUCUUGAUUUAUAUCAGGAACAUAAAUGACAUCAGACUGUAAAUGACAUCAGAAUCAGGCCUGCACUAUUUAUUUUACACUUAUAGGGCUGAAGGCUGGGACUGUUUAAUGUUUUAUCUGUACAGUGUCGGUCAUAAUGUGACUCAGAUCUGGUUAAGGUCUAUAAGUGCUACUGCAACAUAAAUCAAUAAAAAUAUUACUAAUUAUUAAUAAUGAUAAUAAGGAUUCACCAUGGGGUGAAUGCCUGCAGCCUCUUCCUCUUAUUUGUCUUUUUUAUCAGUUCUACUAUGAAAACUGGGCUUAUGCUUCCUACUCUUUCACAGAUCUUUAUUCUACACCUUUUUGCCAGUGUGACUCUUACUCCCUAUUUUUUUCCAGGAACAAAUUUCAAGGCUACCACUGCACCACUCCUGGAAUCCAUUUGGUUGGGGCUAAUUCCGCAUAAGAUUUUUACUUUUACAGUAAUAUACACUAUGUAUCAUAGAUUUCAGAUUCAUUCAGAAGGUUCCAAAAAGACAUUCUAAAGGCCAGAUUCUAAUUUUAUUUAACUUGAUGAAAAUCCAGAAUAACUUUACUGAAGUCCAUAGUGCUACUCCAGAUUUACACUGGCUUAACUAGGAAAAGAGUCUGGUCUCCAAUGUCAUUGGACCAGUUUCGCUUCCCCACUCCACACCCAUCCCUAUGAAAAUCACAUCUAUCUAUUCUUUAACAAAUGUGCUUUUAUGCAUUGCUGACUAUGGCAGAGUGUUACAUUUCUUAUAGCAAUUCAGCCCCAAUAAAAUAUAAUCUUCAUAAAUAGAUAAUGCAGUUCAUGAUCAGGAGUAAUGCACAUUUUGUUGAUGAUCAGCCUCAUAUGGUAAUUUUUAGAUUAACUUGCAUUUGUUCCAAGGGGCAAAAAAUGCAUGUGAUCGUGGUGUUUGCUAUACUCCAGUCUGUUAAAUCUCAGCUUUAUCUACCUCCUGGAUUGCAACUUUCCCUCAAUCUCAUUUCUGAGGCUACUUUCACACAGCCCACCAUCUCUGGAUCCCCACCCCUGAGCUAGCUUGCUAUGAUGCCAUCUUCUCGUCUUUUAAAUCCCAUUUUAAAACUUCUUGCAACCAGGCCAAUUAACUCUUACACCAAAAAGAAAAAAACUAUGACAUGGAUCGUCCUCUCUGACAAUAAACAAACAAACUUGCAAUGUGGAAGGAAGUGCCUGGGAGGAUUUACUUGCAGAGUGUCUCCUGUAUUAUUGUGUCAGAGGGCUAGAUUUUCUACACAGAAAAAUCGGGUGUAUCGUUCUGGAUCUAGGCCAAUGCCAUCCCUGCAGAAGUCCUAUGUCUCUCACCCCCAUGGCUCCAUCAAAGAUGUACUACUGGGAACUUUCCCAGGCUGUGGUGGCCCCUGAGGCACCUGAUGGGGAUAAUACAGUAGUUGUAGUUUUUAUUAUCUUUUCCAGAGAAUUUCUAUGAGAUCAAAAGGAGGACACUGUGUUUUCCCCGAUCCACGUACUUCUCCCUCUGGCUCACUCAGUCCUCUUCCCCUACCCUAGGCUGACCAGACAGAGCACUCUUUGGAGUGGGAGUGUGUUGGCAGAAAGGAGGUGGCUGAUCUCUUGAAUCUGCUUUGGUGGGAGAUAUCUAUGUGCAGAGUUCCCAUAUGUUAAUGGAUGGGAAUGCUGAGAGCAGCAAUAUGACUCAAUAAUAGUUAAAAAUGUGAAACCAAGGUACACACCACACAUCACUUCUUGUUUCAGUUAUUUGCUUUUUCACAUCCCAUUCCUCUCCUACUUACUGACUACUUAGUCUGAAAGUUUCUCGGGGAAGGGAUCUUGCCUCCUUAUGCGGUUGUGUACUUAUCCAGUUGUGUAUUAACAGUAACAUAUUAUAGUGCCUGAAAGUGGGCUUGAAGCACAUGCCUUUCAAUGAGUGGUGUACAAUGGGACAUUACACUUGGUCUUUGGGUGUGAAAAACUAUAGAUGUAUCGUGUGAUGUUGUCCCCAUAAUGCUUUAUACAAAUAUGCUUAUGAGUGUAAAUACGACAUAACUGGAAUAUGUUUUAUAUUAGAUAUGCCAUGUAACAGAUCUUUGCAAAGGUUAUGUUCUACUGAAUUCAUCCUAUUUGUAUGCAUAUAUCAUUUUUAUAUCUGGAGUUACAGGCGUUGACUCUAUGCUUGUAUUUAAAGUGUUUGCUUUAGGAACACCUAAGGCAAAUCUGGUCAAGAUAGUGUGAAGGGGUUAUUCAAGUAAUUGGGAGUACUUGGCUAACAAAGGACCUUGACAGAUGCCUAUCCACAUCUGAGCUUUCCUGGGAACAUUCAAACUAGCAUGUGGACAAUGGCAUCGGCUUGUAAAGAACUGAGUCAUGCAUGGACAUGUGACUUGCCCAUGUGACUCCAAAACUCCAUUUUGUAGCUGUAAUUCUACACAGGGAGAAAGAGGAGUUUCCAUCCAAGAGAGAAACUAUAUAAGCCCCUGGGAAACCCCUCCAUUUUGUCUUCAGCUGGCUCAAGAGAUACCCUCUCCACCCCAAAGAAAUGCCUGAAAGAAACUGGAACAAAGGACAGUAACUACAGGGGUGUGUGUGAUUGCUGGACCCAGACUAGGAGGAAGUCUUGUCUGUCAAAGAAGCUUAUUGGAACAUCUCUGAGGGUGAGAUUUACCUGAGUUUAGUUUCUCACUGUAUUAGGCUUAGACUUGCAUGUUUUAUUUUAUUUUGUUUGGUAAUUUACUUUGUUCUGUCUGUUAUUACUUGGAACCACUUAAAUCCUACUUUUUAUAUUUAAUAAAAUCACUUUUUACUUA
Molecule: RNA transcript, 13019 nt
Organism: Chelonia mydas (Green sea turtle)
Lineage: Eukaryota; Metazoa; Chordata; Testudines; Cheloniidae
Gene: NPY1R
Gene name: neuropeptide Y receptor Y1
Exons: 5
Source: RefSeq, a predicted model, not a curated record